CCUACGGGGGGCAGCAGUGAGGAAUAUUGGUCAAUGGACGAGAGUCUGAACCAGCCAAGUAGCGUGAAGGAUGACUGCCCUAUGGGUUGUAAACUUCUUUUAUAUGGGAAUAAAAUGUUCCACGUGUGGGAUUUUGUAUGUACCAUAUGAAUAAGGAUCGGCUAACUCCGUGCCAGCAGCCGCGGUAAUACGGAGGAUCCGAGCGUUAUCCGGAUUUAUUGGGUGUAAAGGGAGCGUAGGUGGAUUGUUAAGUCAGUUGUGAAAGUUUGCGGCUCAACCGUAAAAUUGCAGUUGAAACUGGCAGUCUUGAGUACAGUAGAGGUGUGCGGAAUGCGUGGUGUAGCGGUGAAAUGCUUAGAUAUCACGAAGAACUCCGAUUGCGAAGGCAGUUCACUGGACUGCAACUGACACUGAGGCUCGAAAGUGUGGGUAUCAAACAGGAUUAGAUACCCUGGUAGUC
RNAcentral lists this ribosomal RNA (460 nucleotides) under uncultured bacterium. RNAcentral describes it as "partial 16S ribosomal RNA". It matches the Rfam family "Bacterial small subunit ribosomal RNA", at positions 338 to 795 of the family's 1533-position model. The record is from RNAcentral.